GAGGGCCGCAGUUCGGAGGAAUGGAACACAGCUGGGUUUUCUUCUGGAAACGGUGGAGUUACAGUGGUUUGGUUAUCGUGGUUUCAGUUGGCAGAACAUUAGUGGAGUAAUUUUUAGGAUGGUCUCAGGGGGGGCUUCCCCUGAUAUACUACUUAUUCACGGUGGGGGUAACGAUUUGGGAUUGAUUCCUCAGAGGGAACUAAUUAGGAGAAUGAAACGGGACCUGGAUCGGCUACGGGAGCUGGUGCCUGGUGUGGUGGUAGUAUGGUCCGAGAUGGUGCCGAGGUUUAAUUGGAGACAUGCCAGGGACUCAGCUGCUGUGGCGCGAUGCCGGGGAAAAGUGAAUAGAGCGAUGUCAGUUUUCGUCCGGAGGUCGGGCGGGGUUACAGUACGACACUGGGAGUUAGAGGGCAUGUUGCCUGGGUACUUUCGCAAGGAUGGGGUACACCUUUCCGAAGUGGGGUGCGAUUUGCUAAAUUUAGGUUUUCAGGAGGGCAUAGCUCAAGCCCUAUUUUUGUAUGGUGGGGGGCGCUCGAGACGUUAAGGUAUCAAGUCUCGGGCUAUGGCGGGAUAGGGCUAGGGUAAUUGGGAUGGAAGAGGAGUAGUAAGUGGCUAGGCUAAGGUUAGGCUGUAUUAGGCCAGAGUGG
This is a non-coding RNA of Pelobates cultripes (western spadefoot toad), 647 nucleotides long. The record is from the annotation of a GenBank genome assembly. Lineage: Eukaryota; Metazoa; Chordata; Amphibia; Anura; Pelobatidae.